GAAGAAGAAGGGUGGAGUCUGGGGAGUCCUGAGCCAGACUUGGAAGAAGCAACAUGGGAAGUUCAUAAAUGAGAGGCAGCUGUUGGGAGGAGCCUAUUUGCACACGCAUCUUACUGCACGCUUCAUGAUGGUUCUCCACAAGGAGCUCAGGCUGACCUAAUUGGAGAGGACUCCGCUGCCAGGCAGAAGCCACCAGAAUCUUGGCUACAAAUGCCACAGGACCUGACACUUUCCCUUCCUACUAAAGUCCUUUCAACUUUCUAAUCAUCAAUGCAAAACCAGAAAGGGCUGCAUGUUGACCACCCCAGCCUCACCCUUGGGUGUUUCUGGAUGGACGGACAUACUAGUUGUUCUGCAAAAGCUCCCCUUGCCCUACGCUCUCACUGGCGCAGCUUUAGGUAAUUCCCAGGCGGAGCCCUUGUAUUGGGUCAGGACUCUGCAGGGGAACAGAAUCAACAGGAUGAGUGCAUGCUAAUAGGGGAUUUAGUGAUGGCUUAUACAAUACAAUCAGAGAAGCCCCUCAAUGGCCUUCUCACACCAUGGGGGCCAAAUGCCUGGUCCUCUCUUGGUGUGUGUAGCUGAGCGCCUCAGCAGUUCUAAUCUGGCUCCAACGUGGAGGAUUCCUGGAGAGCAGACACUGUUCACUCUGCAUUGAAGACUGAAGAUGUCUGGCUGAGUAUCAGCCAGCCAAGGCAUCAGUGGCGGUGGCUGCAGAGUGGAUGAGCUCGCCAGCAAGAGUAAAGAUUGAGUGAGCAAAGAAGCCAAAACUUUCCUCCUCCAAGUCCCCUUAUCUGACUGUUACCUAAAAACAUUGCCAAUGCUUAGGCUGGGUCUUCCCACAUCAGCAAGAGGUAUCAAGACAGACCCCCCACGGACAGGGUCACAGGCCAACUUAAUCAAAAGGGCUCCUUGCUGAGGCUCUUUUCGAGUUGUUCUAAGUUUUGUCAAAGUGACAAAGCAGCCACCACAGCCUUCUUCCACGAACGCUUGCGCAAAAGCUUACCUGCUGAAGGGCGGUGGUAAGGAAGCAUUGCAAGUCUUUGCUUCCCAUAAUUAAAUCAUUGUACUUCUAUAAAUGCUGGAAACUUGGCUUGCAGAAUAAAAACUUUCUGUAACUAA
This is a non-coding RNA of Myodes glareolus (Bank vole), 1119 nucleotides long. The record is from RefSeq and is a predicted model, not a curated record. NCBI's taxonomy places the organism in Eukaryota, Metazoa, Chordata, Mammalia, Rodentia, Cricetidae.